This 465-nucleotide ribosomal RNA is filed under the name uncultured bacterium. RNAcentral describes it as "partial 16S ribosomal RNA". It matches the Rfam family "Bacterial small subunit ribosomal RNA", at positions 338 to 795 of the family's 1533-position model. The record is from RNAcentral.
CCUACGGGAGGCAGCAGUGGGGAAUAUUGCGCAAUGGGCGAAAGUCUGACGCAGCGACGCCGCGUGAGGGAUGAAGGUCUUCGGAUCGUAAACCUCUGUCAGCAGGGAAGAACGCUCAUUGCGCCAAUCAGCCGUGCGUUGACGGUACCUGCAAAGGAAGCACCGGCUAACUCCGUGCCAGCAGCCGCGGUAAUACGGAGGGCGCGAGCGUUAAUCGGAAUUACUGGGCGUAAAGCGCUCGUAGGCGGUAGGUCAGGUUGAGGGUGAAAUCCCCGGGCUCAACGUGGGAACUGCCUUUGAUACUGGCAAACUGGAGUGUGUGAGAGGAGAGUGGAAUUCCAGGUGUAGGAGUGAAAGCCGUAGAUAUCUGGAGGAACAUCAGUGGCGAAGGCGACUAUCUGGCACAUAACUGACGCUGAGGAGCGAAAGCGUGGGUAGCAAACAGGAUUAGAUACCCUAGUAGUC